UCUUCUGCUCCCUGAGAAAGUGAGAACAUCUUCCUGAGAACAUCUCCAACUCUGACUGCUCUUCUCUUAUAACCACGGUAAAUAGUAUAAGGCCUGUGGCUGAUACACUGGACCGGAGGGUCUGUGGACAGGGAAGUAUGUCACGUGACAUACAUGGUACACACACGAGAUUUGAUCUCUGUUUAGCUUAUUAGUGAGCGAGCCUGAGGUGACUGUGGCGAGGAAAAACUCCCUUAGAUGGUAAGGGGAGGAAACCUUCAGAGGAACCAAACUCCUCAUUUGGGUGACAUUGGAGAGUGUGAUUAUAAAUGAUUAUAAACACCAGAGAGUGUGAUUAUUAAUGAUUAUAAACACCGGAGAGUGUGAUUAUAAAUGAUUAUAAACACCAGAGAGUGUGAUUAUUAAUGAUUAUAAACACCAGAGAGUUUGAUU
Hemibagrus wyckioides is the source of this 432-nucleotide long non-coding RNA. RefSeq lists it as uncharacterized. NCBI's taxonomy places the organism in Eukaryota, Metazoa, Chordata, Actinopteri, Siluriformes, Bagridae. The transcript has 3 exons. The record is from RefSeq and is a predicted model, not a curated record.